Molecule: transfer RNA, 72 nt
Filed under: Phrynosoma platyrhinos (Desert horned lizard)
Lineage: Eukaryota; Metazoa; Chordata; Lepidosauria; Squamata; Phrynosomatidae
Description: tRNA-OTHER
Source: RNAcentral
GGCCAGUGUGGCAUAAUGGUUUGAGUGUUGGAUUAUGACUCGGAGACCAGGGUUUGAUUCCCAGCUUGACCA